AGGAACAUGUGGUUUAAUUCGAUGAUACGCGAGGAACCUUACCCGGGCUCGAACGGUGCAGGAAUAUGGUAGAGAUAUCAUAGCUAGCAAUAGUCUGUAUCGAGGUGCUGCAUGGUUGUCGUCAGCUCGUGCCGUGAGGUGUCGGCUUAAGUGCCAUAACGAGCGCAACCCUUGUCGUUAGUUACCAUCAAGUAAUGUUGGGGACUCUAGCGAGACUGCCACCGUAAGGUGUGAGGAAGGGGGGGAUGACGUCAAAUCAGCACGGCCCUUACGUCCGGGGCGACACACGUGUUACAAUGGUAGGUACAGAGGGGCGCUAUCCAGCGAUGGAGUGCGAAUCUCAAAAACCUAUCUCAGUUCGGAUCGGAGUCUGCAACUCGACUCCGUGAAGUUGGAUUCGCUAGUAAUCGCGCAUCAGCCAUGGCGCGGUGAAUACGUUCCCGGGCCUU
RNAcentral lists this ribosomal RNA (449 nucleotides) under uncultured Rikenellaceae bacterium. Its description in RNAcentral is "bacterial SSU rRNA". It matches the Rfam family "Bacterial small subunit ribosomal RNA", at positions 933 to 1382 of the family's 1533-position model. The record is from RNAcentral. Lineage: Bacteria; Pseudomonadati; Bacteroidota; Bacteroidia; Bacteroidales; Rikenellaceae.